RNAcentral lists this transfer RNA (76 nucleotides) under Klebsiella pneumoniae. RNAcentral describes it as "tRNA-His". It matches the Rfam family "tRNA". Rfam says of the family: Transfer RNA (tRNA) molecules are approximately 80 nucleotides in length. Their secondary structure includes four short double-helical elements and three loops (D, anti-codon, and T loops). The record is from RNAcentral. Lineage: Bacteria; Pseudomonadati; Pseudomonadota; Gammaproteobacteria; Enterobacterales; Enterobacteriaceae. RNAcentral also lists the same sequence under 46 other names.
GUGGCCGUAGUUCAGUUGGUAGAACUCGAGAUUGUGAUUCUCGUAGUCAUGGGUUCAACUCCCAUCGGUCACCCCA